RNAcentral lists this ribosomal RNA (453 nucleotides) under uncultured bacterium. Its description in RNAcentral is "bacterial SSU rRNA". It matches the Rfam family "Bacterial small subunit ribosomal RNA", at positions 28 to 521 of the family's 1533-position model. The record is from RNAcentral.
GAUGAACGCUGGCGAGAUGCCUUACACAUGCAAGUCGUACGGGGAUUUUUAAUUCAAGUGGCGGACGGGUGAGUAACACGUAAGAAUUUGCCUUUAGGAGGGGGACAACAACUGGAAACGGUUGCUAAUACCCCAUAUGCUUUCGAGUGAAAUGGAUUUUUCCGCCUAAAGAGAAGCUUGCGGCUGAUUAGCUUGUUGGUGAGGUAAUGGCUCACCAAGGCGACGAUCAGUAUCUGGUUUGAGAGGAUGAUCAGACACACUGGAACUGAGACACGGUCCAGACUCCUACGGGAGGCAGCAGUGGGGAAUUUUCCGCAAUGGGCGAAAGCCUGACGGAGCAAUACCGCGUGAGGGAAGAAUGCCUAUGGGUUGUAAACCUCUUUUUCAGGGAGGAAUCAAAUGACGUGUACCUGAAGAAUAAGCAUCGGCUAACUCCGUGCCAGCAGCCGCGGU